UAAAACACCCUGCUCACUGAUUCUUCUAUUCAGCAGGAAGAGGAGGACAGGCCUGUUCCCCUCACAUACCUGUAAAAGGACUUGGUGAACAACAUGUCACUCAUCUGAGAGCUGCUACGUUCUAUUUCCAGUUAUCUUAAGUACAGCAUAACUUUAUAGCCAUAUGGGUAUCUCACCAAAAGUGGUAGAAAAUGAAUGGCACCAACUGGCUGGGAGAGAAGGAAAUGCAUCACUCAUGGAAGCAGGGCUGCAUUUUCCAAUAGCCACAUCAACUUUCACUCUCCAGACAAUACAUAGCAUUUGCCAGCCAGCUUCCAUGUUACCCUUCUGCAGACAUGUGAGUGAAGCCAGGACAUAAAGAUCAGCCUCUUAACAGCACCUUACUACAGCGAGCAUGAGCCCAGCCCAACAGAAUUCUGCCAACUCAUUAGUGAUUGCUCUAAGAAUUCUUAAAACAUCAGCAGUUCUAGAGCGGCUUGGGGAUCAUUCCUUAGCUCAACUGCUAUAAGAGUUAAUGUUGACUCCAAGCUGAAGAUGUAAAACAAACUAUAAAGAGACAAUGUCAAGUAAGAUAUAAACACAGAGGAAAGCUACAGCUGUUAAUCACUGUGUAUAAGCAACACGGCUACUUUCGGAUAGUACAGAUAAUUUUUCAUUGCCUUGGUCCUCAAGAGGUCAGAAGCCUGGAGCACAGUGUGAUGUGUGAGAGGGAAGAAGAGAUCAGCAGACGGGAGAAGGGAAAGAUCCAAGUCAAGGAGAAGCCUCCAUUACUUGGGACUAAUACAAGUUAAACAUGAAAUGAACCUAGUUACUCACUGGGUUGGAUUUUUUUCUUUCCUUUGCUGCUUCUCCAUUUAUUUGCUCCCAUAAGGUUGUUCUCUGCCUCCAUUAUAGCAGCUCAGGUUCUCCAAUGCAUCCUCAUGCCAAUGCAGAGCCCAGCACAAAAACCAAGACACGGCAACUGGGGCUACUUAACUUAAGCCCAAGUUGCCACAGCCUCAAUGCAUGUGGCAGCAGCUGGACAAUAUAAAGCAUUUCAACUACGCCUGUUCCUAGUCCUGCCACCUCCCUCACGCUAACCCCUUGUAUGCCCUCUGUACCAGGUCUUUAGGAAUACACACCUGGAACGAUGCGGCCUCUGGUGGGACACUACUGAGAGUAUCAGUUCAGGACAAAUUGCUUAGAGCAGGACAGUCACAGCCCAAAGCUGGGAUUUCUUUACUAUCAAGGCACAGCAAACCAGCCAAACAGAGAGGACUUCGGUUUUACCCCACUGGCUAACC
Non-coding RNA from Chelonoidis abingdonii (Abingdon island giant tortoise), 1283 nucleotides. NCBI's taxonomy places the organism in Eukaryota, Metazoa, Chordata, Testudines, Testudinidae. The record is from RefSeq and is a predicted model, not a curated record.